GCAGUCGAGCGGACAGAUGGGAGCUUGCUCCCUGAUGUUAGCGGCGGACGGGUGAGUAACACGUGGGUAACCUGCCUGUAAGACUGGGAUAACUCCGGGAAACCGGGGCUAAUACCGGAUGGUUGUUUGAACCGCAUGGUUCAGACAUAAAAGGUGGCUUCGGCUACCACUUACAGAUGGACCCGCGGCGCAUUAGCUAGUUGGUGAGGUAACGGCUCACCAAGGCGACGAUGCGUAGCCGACCUGAGAGGGUGAUCGGCCACACUGGGACUGAGACACGGCCCAGACUCCUACGGGAGGCAGCAGUAGGGAAUCUUCCGCAAUGGACGAAAGUCUGACGGAGCAACGCCGCGUGAGUGAUGAAGGUUUUCGGAUCGUAAAGCUCUGUUGUUAGGGAAGAACAAGUGCCGUUCAAAUAGGGCGGCACCUUGACGGUACCUAACCAGAAAGCCACGGCUAACUACGUGCCAGCAGCCGCGGUAAUACGUAGGUGGCAAGCGUUGUCCGGAAUUAUUGGGCGUAAAGGGCUCGCAGGCGGUUUCUUAAGUCUGAUGUG
This 556-nucleotide ribosomal RNA is filed under the name Bacillus subtilis group sp. RNAcentral's name for it is "bacterial SSU rRNA". It matches the Rfam family "Bacterial small subunit ribosomal RNA", at positions 57 to 596 of the family's 1533-position model. Lineage: Bacteria; Bacillati; Bacillota; Bacilli; Caryophanales; Bacillaceae. The record is from RNAcentral.